GGGUCAGAUACCCUGUCUCUGUGAGACUUUAUAUUCUCCAGUGCAUUUCAGCAGCUGCUUGCACCUGGCUGGGCUGACGGUGCAAAGGAAGGCUCUCCAGCCGCAGUCUCCUGGAGCAUCGUAUGGAAUUCAGCCCCAGCUCUGAGGAAGCUCCAGUGUUGGCCCUGGAAAACCCCAGUGAAGGAGGAUGGUCCUGUUUGCAGCCUCUCAGGUCCACCGUUGUAGAUGGCCCUAGAGGGGUCCACCCACAGAAGGGGGAUGAUGCCAAAGCUACACAUGAAGUCCUGCUCCAAUGCCCAUUCUCUGUAUGAUCUUUAGGUAAGUUCUUAAAGCCUCAGUUUCCUCAUCUGUGAAAUGGAAGUAAAACAAGAACCUGCCUUAUGGCACUAUUGCUGGAUUAUAUGAGGUACCUUGCAGUAGGCAGUUAGCGGAGCUGACAUAGUAUAAGCACUCAGUAAUUACUAUCUAUAACAGGUCCGUGGUCUGUUAUCUGAUUCUGAAGUCAGAAAAGCUCUGAAAAUUGUAUAUGUGGUGUCAAAACUCAUUUGGAAGCGAAGCCUCUCCUGAAGUGAUGCAUAGCUAUAUUUAGAAACGCUAAUGAGGUAUUGCUGUGGAGCCGCUGGGGCUGUUACAUGAUGCAUUGUACACGCGUCACAUUGCCCAUCUAAAGUCUGAAACACUCUGAAUCCUGAAACACACCUGGUUCCCAGGGUUUAGGAUAAGGGAUUGUGAACCUGGAUUACUUAUAAGUGCAGAGUCAGUAUGUCCUCUGACUUUCAAUAGCAGUGACUGUCAGCCCUGGAACUCUGAGAGCCAAAAUCCUGAAAGGAAUGGAAAUAACUCUUUUCUCCUAGAAGGAAUUAGAGAUUGAUAUUUAAGAACAGAAAGCACGAGAAGUCACGAAGUCAGAUGAAACAAUAUAUUUCUUGCUUCUUUGCUCUUGUGAUCAUUAGAGAGCUUCUGUAGGGAGAUGGUCCUAGAUGAGGAAUUAUCUUUUAAGACCAUUUCAGUUCCCAGAUCCCAGGGUGUCAUGGUUGCUUCUUGUUUGUUCAGCAUCCUGCUAGGGAGGCCUGGGGAAAGGAGAGCAGACCAGUUGUGUCCUCUCAAGGAAUCUAUGCUUUCACUGAGGUUAAAAAAUACGUGCUCUUGAAACAGGGAGUAGUACGUUAGAAGGUUAAAGUAGAUCAGAAUAUAUUAAAAGAUGAAGAGAUCAAUGCUUAAGUGAAUAACGGAGAUAGUAUGUACUGUAGGACUUCAGGAAAAGGGGCUCCAAGGUGUGGGAGCUAAUUAAGGGUAAGUUAAUUCUUAGAGAGAAAAGCCCAAGGAAGGGGUAGGAAAGGAGAGGAGUGGAAGGGAAAGCAGGGGCUUUGGAACUCAAGUCGACACUCCACAGGUAGCCGCUAUGUGGCUUCAGCAAUUUGGCUAAACGUUCUCAGUCUUUGUUUCCUCCCCUCUAAUGUGGAGCGGGUUCUAUCUCUCUCCAGCUACAAAUACUAUAAAUAUUAGAUAAAAUACUGUAUGUAAAGUGUUACCAGAACACCCCUUCUUCUUUUGGUGGCUCUUCCCUGCAAUUUGGCUCUCAGAAUCUUAGCUCUCAUUUGCUCCAUGAUUGCCUAUGUUUGAUAAAGGCAUAUAAACCAGGAGUACCCAAGCAACCAACCAAGCCGUUCAGUCAAGACCUCAAACAAAUGUCCCCCUACCCCCACUGCAGCAUUUGACAACUCUCUCCUGUGCAGCCCCUCCAAUCACUGUAGUCACACCGCAUCCUCUGUCCAGCAGUGGCCUUUGAAAGCCUGCCGGUCCAUGGAACUUUGCCCUCAAGUCAGAGAUGUUUGUUCUCAGGAGAUCUCAUUUUAUCUUCUUAGGACCUCUUGGCCUGUUAACGCACAGCACCACCCCAUGAGAAAGUUCCCAAUAGGUGGCGAUUGCCCUCAUAUCUUGACUCCAGUGUCAUUGUCCAGUUUCAGUAAGUCAUAAAAAUACCCAAACCAUAUAAAUCGUACCUAUCAACUAGGGGAGAGGUCAAAGGAAAUGUAAAAACAAAGGAGAGUAGAGGUUCAUGGUCAAAAUGCAGGGGGAGAGAAGGCUGCACCAGAUCUAAUGCAGAAGGAAAGGGGAAGAAAUAGUUGCCAGAGCAGAGUUGACACCAGAGCCCACCACACAGAAGCAGGGGGCUCAGGAAGACUGUCUCAGUUCUGAGGGGAUGUGUCUGCACCCCAAUAUUGACAUCGGGUAGAGCUAGUACAAAGAGGGCUAUGGUUGAAUGAAACUCUUAGUGGUACGGCAUCAGUGGUUCGGUAGUACUGCCCUCAUCCCACCUGUAUGGAGGAAGAAAGGUCCAUGAGGAUCCUUUCUCCUGUGGGGGCUGGUCUGGAGGAGCCCAAGGGCCUCAGGGACCAGUGACAGCAGGGAGAGCAGCCUGCCUAAAGCAGACGGGAUGCUUGGCAGUUUAGAUGCAGAGACUGGGGGAUUUUGAACACCAGACUGAGCCUUCAUCUGCAGCUACUGGGUGCCUGGGCAUUGUUGAGAGAACCAACAUGGUGAUUAAAAAUGGGGUAAAGGGUACUCUGUGAUGGCAGGUGAGUGUGAAUGUUUCAGCAAGGAAGGGAAAGUAGACAUGGAGACGAACAGGAAUAAAAGGGAAGGGAUGGGUCCUGCUGAUAUUUUU
Vulpes vulpes (red fox) is the source of this 2668-nucleotide long non-coding RNA. The record is from Ensembl. NCBI's taxonomy places the organism in Eukaryota, Metazoa, Chordata, Mammalia, Carnivora, Canidae.